GAUGAACGCUGGCGGCGUGCCUAACACAUGCAAGUCGAGCGAUUCUCUUCGGAGAAGAGCGGCGGACGGGUGAGUAACGCGUGGGUAACCUGCUCUAUACACACGGAUAACAUACCGAAAGGUAUGCUAAUACGGGAUAACAUAAGAGAUUCGCAUGGAUUUCUUAUCAAAGCUCCGGCGGUAUAGGAUGGACCCGCGUCUGAUUAGCUAGUUGGUAAGGUAACGGCUUACCAAGGCGACGAUCAGUAGCCGACCUGAGAGGGUGAUCGGCCACAUUGGAACUGAGACACGGUCCAAACUCCUACGGGAGGCAGCAGUGGGGAAUAUUGCACAAUGGGCGAAAGCCUGAUGCAGCAACGCCGCGUGAGCGAUGAAGGCCUUCGGGUCGUAAAGCUCUGUCCUCAAGGAAGAUAAUGACGGUACUUGAGGAGGAAGCCCCGGCUAACUACGUG
Molecule: ribosomal RNA, 452 nt
Filed under: uncultured bacterium
Lineage: Bacteria
Description: bacterial SSU rRNA
Rfam family: Bacterial small subunit ribosomal RNA
Source: RNAcentral